Molecule: long non-coding RNA, 2304 nt
Organism: Toxotes jaculatrix (banded archerfish)
Lineage: Eukaryota; Metazoa; Chordata; Actinopteri; Toxotidae
Exons: 3
Source: RefSeq, a predicted model, not a curated record
UAUUGGUUCAGAGCUUGUAGGAAUAACAGUUAGCUACGUUGGAUAAUUAAUGUGAGUUGGCUACAGCUGUUUCACCUGCUGGUGACGUCUCCCAGCUAGUUUAAGGCGAAAAUGAGAAGCUAAGCUAACGUUAGCCUUUUCAGUUGUUUGGUUCACGUUAGUAAAUGUGUCCAAAACAAUUAACCUCCAUGUAGACAUACAUUUUUAAUAAAUGUUGGCAUUAAGGCAAAUAAGUCAUUAUGAAAUUCAUGCGAAGAUUUGGACGAGUCCUACCACUAUGAUGAGUGCCAGAGCGAGGAGUUUUCCUACAGUGAAAACAUCUUGGAUCCUCGUCGCCCAGCGCACACUGGAGCAGUUCACCCAGGUCCGAAGUGUGAUGCUGUGGACCAGAGAGGAGGAUGGGGGUGGUACCAAGCAGCCAAUAGGAACAUCAAACAGCCAACCAGAAUGUCAUCUGGCCAAUUGGAUCCCCCAUCAUUGAUGUGCAAGGUGUCCUGCCCAUUUCGUGUUACCAUGGCGCUCAGUGACAGGAGCGUCACGGUAACCACUGCAAAACAAUGCACAAUGCUGUAGACACACCCUCUCAUUAGCGGCGUCCACAAAGGCUGGCACCAUUAUGUAGUCUGACACUGAUACUGACACACACACACACACACACGUCCACGUACGUAGACACUCGAACUCGCACCACACUCAGGAGUACAACACACUCACAGAGUGGGCCCCUGGCCUAACUAGGCAGCAGUUGUAGCAUUCUGUCGCCAAAAAUAGUGGAGGUGUGUUCUGUAAAUGCUAACCCCAGCCUGACAUGUGCACACACACUCAUGCACGGAUCGCUAAGCCUCUCCUGUCUGUCCCCCCGUUUCCCUUUCUCCAUCCAGUUCAGACAAGACCAAACUGGCUGGCUUGUCAACCAGAUACAUGCACAGUCUGCUUUUGCCACUGGCUAUUUAAAUACAUAUUGCUGUACUCCAACAUUUCAAGGAAAGGUGCUGAUCAGAGGCUGGAAAUAGAGCACAGCGUUUCAUAAGGAAUUAUCAAAUGACAAUGGCAGCCGUAAGCACACUGUGAACUGUCACAGUAUCAUAAUAUCUUCAAGCCAUACGAUGAAAGUAGCUGGAUGUGGUUAGCAGAGUUUGACUUACCCUUUGUAGUUUUGUGGCUUUCUCCUUGUUCUAUAUUUGUGCGACCAGGUGGGAACAGGUGGGAAGACACCCUUAGUCACUGGGUGCUCCAGUUUAUCCAGCUGGAUGGAGAGGUUUGUCUAGACAGGGACUCUCUGCUCAUUUGUUUCCUGAGCACUUAUUUGUGAUCUAACAUCAUUUAGUGCUCAAUCAGUAUUUCUUUAAUCAAACGUAAGUUUGCUCUGACCCUUUACCCUUGACCCUAAGACCAUUUGCUUGUAAUGCUGAUCUAGGAAAGGGUGUUUGCUCUAAUGUGUACCCCAGUGGGAGUCACUCUGGGUCAUACAGUCAGAUGACCUGAAUGUCUGAAGCAACAGAAGGUCUGAAGUGUGAUACUGUGAAGCAGGAUGUCAUGAUGACGGAGGCUGGAGUGUCAGCAAGCAGGAAUGCAGACCAGUCAGUUCCAGUAUCAAUACACCAAUGGGAUCAUUUGAAACUGAUUUCAAAGCAGGUUUCUCCAGACAGAUGACCAACAAGCUCAUCAACCAUCUACACUCGAGUCAACCAAGAAAGUCCACCUGACCAACAUUUGGCAAACCUUCAGGCCAUCAGCUUGUGACUUUGGAAGGAUUGUGCAAAGCUUCUGUCAAACACUGGCUAACAACAGUCAACAAAAUUAGUUUUUUUUCUUCAUACCAACAUGAUAUCGUUUCUGUUAUGAAACCAUUUACAUCAUCACAAAGGUUUUCCUGUGCUAAGCCAAAUUUUUGGUUUUGAGGAAUCGUUCAGCAUUUUAAGAAAUCUAUUUUCUUAGUAUGAGUUAAAUGAGAAGAUUGUUACCACUCUCAUACAGUAUCUGUCCUUUAAAUGUGAAACAAAUGCAGUUAGCUUAGCUUUUCAUAAACUGUAAACUGGGGGAAUCAGCUCACCUGGUUCUGUCCAACAGUAACAAAACAGGCCUGGAAAGCAAAUUAUUUAACAUAUUCCCUUUUGAGAACUAUUUGACUCAUGGUUAUUUGCUCUUUAGGAAGUCAAUGACUCCCUAACUACAUAAAAUGUAACUGUAUAUGGAUUAAAUACAUGUAAUGUACAGUAUAUCAGCUGAAAGUGCCCAACCCAUUAACAAUACUGAUGUUAAUGUGAACAUACCAACGUUGUCUGAGCUAAAUAAUAAAGUGGA